AUUGAACGCUGGCGGCAGGCCUAACACAUGCAAGUCGAGCGGAUGAAGGGAGCUUGCUCCUGGAUUCAGCGGCGGACGGGGGAGUAAUGCCUAUGAAUCUGCCUUGUCGUGGGGGAUAACGUCCGGAAACGGGCGCUAAUACCGCAUACGUCCUGUUGUCGAAAGUGGGGGAUCUUCGGACCUCACGCUAUCUGAUGAGCCUAGGUGGGAUUCGCUAGUUUGUGGGGUAAAGGCCUACCAAGGCGACUAUCCGUAACUGGUCUCAGAGGAUGAUCCGUCACACUGGAACUGAGACACGGUCCAGACUCCUACGGGAGGCAGCAGUGGAGAAUAUUAGGCGAUGGGGGAAAGCCUGAUCCAGCACUGCCGGGUGUGGGCAGAAGGUCUUCGGAUUGUAAAGCGCUUUAAGUUGGGAGGAAGGGCAGUAAGUUAAUACCUUGCUGUAUUGACGGUACCAACAGAAUAAGCACCGGCUAACUUCGUG
This 484-nucleotide ribosomal RNA is filed under the name uncultured bacterium. RNAcentral's name for it is "partial 16S ribosomal RNA". It matches the Rfam family "Bacterial small subunit ribosomal RNA", at positions 30 to 507 of the family's 1533-position model. The record is from RNAcentral.